RNAcentral lists this long non-coding RNA (620 nucleotides) under Gallus gallus (chicken). RNAcentral describes it as "long non-coding RNA NONGGAT007790". The record is from RNAcentral. Lineage: Eukaryota; Metazoa; Chordata; Aves; Galliformes; Phasianidae.
AAUAUAUGCACCUGGCUUCAUUCUGUCUUCUCCUGACUUCUCCUUUCCACAGUGGAUGCAUUUAGUUGCAUGCUGCAUUUUGCUGAUCCUGUUUGCCCUGCUGCAAAGAGCACUGCAAGAUAUUUCAGCAGUAGCAGCUGUCUGAAAAGGAGUCAUCAAAAGUGCCACUGAGGUGGAAGUGAGCUUUCCAUGUCUCAUAUUCAGAAGAAGAAAGAAAUGCUUUGAUAUUCCACAAUUUCAGUUAAGAUAACCCUGAAACAGACACGGCACGUGAGAAUAAAAGGUUCACCAUCUAUUAGCCCAGUGGAAAUCAGGGGGUGACCUUUUGUCAGGUCAGAGCUUUUGGCUGCGGAGGUUUGGGAACUUUCACAGGUACAUUCUAACCUGUGACCUUACUCUGUGUUCCAGCCACUUGUUCCCUGCUGCUGUCUUAAUCAAAACCAGUAGUGGAUGGUAACUUCCUAGAAGAAGUAGGGGAUUGGUCCUACAUAAUUUAUGCAACAAAUGCAAUGCAUUUAAAGGGGUUAACUGAAGUCUGUGGCAUUGUUUGUGUACCUUGGAUUUGAGGGGUUCUAGCCCUAAGGCAAUGCGUAGGCUUUGGCUACUUCUGGCCUAUGUGA